AGACAACGGCGGUGGAGAUGUAGCCAUCCGGGGCGGACAGCCCCAACUCCCCAGUCUGCUGCGGGGAGGACCGUGGCUGUGGACGCGGAGGACAACUGUGUGCCGAGGCGCGGGGGGAAAAACACAAGAGGACCCGUUAGAAUUAAAAAAUGGACGGUGCCGGCGGGACGUCACGAUGCGCCGUCGCCACAAAGCUCAUGAACGCGCUCAUUUGGCUCCCAGCAUGCCGCACGUCCGGAGGGACCGCUGGUCACCGGGAGCUCAUCUGAAAAGCCAGUGAAACCCACCCUGCUGACCUGCACCCAAGGAGGAGAAAACUCACUUGGAAGCAUCACGAGUGAAGUUCAAGGUUUCCUCCAAACUUCCAGGUGUGUGUCAGAGGCUGUGUGUGUGUGUGUGUGUGUGUGUGUGUGUGUGUGUGUGUGUGUGUGUGUGUGUGUGUGUGUGUGUCGCCGGACAGACGGUGCGUUCGCAGGCCCGAGGGGUUGUCUGUUAUCUUUGGUUAUCUAGCUGUAUGAGUGACGUACAUUCUUCAUAAAGCUAGAUAACCGAAAGUAACAAGAAUCCCAUUACACGCCUGCGCGGGAAAAAGACAAAACAACAGAAGAGAGGAAAGAAGAAUAAAAAAAAGCAGAUUAAGAAGCAGCUAAAGAGAACGGAGGGCUGGAGGUGAAGGAUGGAUGCUGCUAACCAAUGACGUGAAGGUUUCUGAUCUGAAGUUGGGAAGCACCUGAUCUGAGGACUUUGAGUCAAUGAUGUCCUUUUAACGGAGGACUGCAUCAUCAUUAACCGUCAUCAUUAACCUGGAGGAAGCAGCACAAACGCUGCGACAGAUUCUGAUGCAGGAGUCUGUGUUUGUCUGCCGCUGCUGCGACAGAACAUCGUUAUCUGACGACAGAGAGACACACGGAGACACAACACUUUAAAUCCGAGUGAACGAACGGACGCUCGGCCGUCGUGAGGCUGAGACUCGGUGAAGGACGACGCUGUGGAUACGUUGUGUGUUUAUGUUUCGUACGCCGUGUUCCUGGGAGCUGCUCUGCACAGCUGUUCAGGAAACAUCUGCACUAGAUUUCAAUAUAGGUCAGAGCUUAGAUCGGUCGCUCGCUCUGUCAAACGCACAAAAAUCACUCAGAUUUAUGUACAUUUACUGAAAAAAAUAGAGCAAUGAUUGUUAGUAUUAUACUUAGGUUAGAAGUUUAUCCUUGUUUAGAUGACAGCUUUAUCCUAGAGUAGAACAUUUAAAUGCCUGUUUUUUUUAAUAUGAAUUUAAAUUUCUUUUUCAUGUCUCUUUAAUUUUAUUUGUUUCUAAAUGUUUUGGCUGAAAAUUUGUGUUAAAUUUUGAAUGGUUCAACCAAAUUGUUGACAAUCUGUGUGACUGGAUUACUUGAAAGCCCCGAAAUAGACAUUUAUCAAGCGCAAAACAUGAAUUUUUUACCAGUUCUUCUAAAUAUAUAACUGUUUUCAUGCACAGACAAGAGUGUACAGUACUGUUUGAAAAAUCUUCUCCUCCUCAGACUGUUUUUUAUGCAUCUCUUUAAUGGCAGCAACAUUUUUAUUGCUCAGAAUGUUUAAAAAAAAAGCUAAAUAAUUUGGAAUGCACUAGUUGAUUAUGCAGUUCUAAUAUUGUUCUUUCAGUAUGUAAAUCUCAACAGUAUCAUAAGACUGGAGCAGCCUCAGUGGUCUUUUACAAUCUUUACAUUCAUGACACACACUUCUAAAUCAAGAUGGCAACAAUCACUGCAGGAAAUACAGUAUUUUUAUGUGUUAAAUAUGCAAAGGAGAGUGAGUGGGUGGUGUUAAAUUUGCAGCGUUGUCUUUGCACGUGUGUAUUGUUGUUAAGUUUGCACAUUAGUGUUUUAAUGUACGGGUUCAGUGUGGGUGAUGUGUGUUGAACCGCUAACAUGCACUAUAGGAGCACAGGUGCAAUGGGUGCGCUUUUUGUUUUUCAGUUAGUUUAAGUAGAAGCACUUAAUACAGACAGUUGUUAGUGGAGGAUUUGUGGUGUUUUAGUUGAUUUAAUCAGUAAUUGUUGCACUGUCAGUCUCAGAGACUCAAAUCUGCGUUUGUUCCACAACUUUUGUGACAAUGUGAUGCAAGAACUCUACUGCACUUGUUUUGUUUUCAUGUGUGAAUUUGUGCAAUAUUUGAAUUUUUAGAUGGAAUGAUGUGAACGAGUGAAUUUAUUAAUGUGCACUAUGAACUGCUGUCUCAGGACUUUUAAAAGCUGGAUUUGCACGUGAGCUACUUUGUACUAUGCAACUGUUUCUAUUGCAACUAAUAUAAUCAAUAAAGGUAUUGAUGUUUACAGCGAAA
Amphiprion ocellaris (clown anemonefish) is the source of this 2316-nucleotide long non-coding RNA. RefSeq lists it as uncharacterized. Lineage: Eukaryota; Metazoa; Chordata; Actinopteri; Pomacentridae. The record is from RefSeq and is a predicted model, not a curated record. The transcript is spliced from 4 exons.